AAAAAAAGUACUGUUAUUGCUUUCAGAGAGAAAGGGAGAGAUUCCUCUAUGAAUUUAAUACAAAAUAAAAAUAAAUAAAAAAUAAUUUUUCUUUAAAGGACCAACUAUGGGAAUGUGACCCUUUCCCUGUCUCCCUCUCUCUCUCUCUCUCUCUCUCUCUCUCUCUCUCUCUCACACACACACACACACACACACACACACGCUCUCUCCCGGCUUCUCUCUCCAUCCAUCCCACCUGUGCUCUUGCAAAAUCAAAGCACAGACUGUCCCAGGCUCUCUGAACAGAUAGGAUUCCCCAUUUGGGGUCAUUUGACCAAAACCUGUCCCUCCCCUACCACCCAUCCUUUAGUAGACCCUAGAUCACCGUUACCUCUUUAAAUUAAAAAGAAAAAAAAAGGGGGGGGAAAGAAAUAGAUCUCUUCCAACGUCUUUAUUAUUAUAAUUAUCAUAAUCUUCAAUUUCCAAAAAUAUAAAUAGGUGCGCGGAACCCUGGUGCCUGCACGGUCCCGGGGGAGGGGCGGGGGCGGGAGGGGGAGGGGCGGGGGCGCUCCCACCGGGAAGGAGGAGGUGCUCCCACCCAGUCCUGCCGAGAGAGAUGGCACCUGCUAGGGUGGCAGGCCGGGUGAGGGGACGCCGGGCGGGCGGGAGGACGGACGGACGGACGGAAGAGAGGGACCCCUGGAGG
This is a long non-coding RNA of Pipistrellus kuhlii (Kuhl's pipistrelle), 685 nucleotides long. RefSeq lists it as uncharacterized. NCBI's taxonomy places the organism in Eukaryota, Metazoa, Chordata, Mammalia, Chiroptera, Vespertilionidae. The record is from RefSeq and is a predicted model, not a curated record. The transcript has 3 exons.